CGACUCGCGUGACCGAUUUCCCUUGGUGUUUAGAUGUGGAUGUGGUCUCUAGCACCAUUAGAAAUCGGUUAUGCGGGCG
This 79-nucleotide microRNA precursor is filed under the name Petromyzon marinus (sea lamprey). Its description in RNAcentral is "microRNA pma-mir-29b precursor". Its record names the gene pma-mir-29b. The stretch from base 7 to 74 matches the Rfam family "mir-29 microRNA precursor family". From Rfam's summary of the family: This family represents the microRNA (miRNA) precursors mir-29. Lineage: Eukaryota; Metazoa; Chordata; Hyperoartia; Petromyzontiformes; Petromyzontidae. The record is from miRBase by way of RNAcentral.